GCUCAGGAUGAACGCUGGCGGCGUGCUUAACACAUGCAAGUCGAACGAACCUUCGGGUUAGUGGCGGACGGGUGAGUAACGCGUGAGAAUCUGCCCUCAGGAGGGGGAUAACGGUUGGAAACGACCGCUAAUACCCCAUAUGCCUAUUGGUGAAAUGAAUUUCGCCUGAGGAUGAGCUCGCGUCUGAUUAGCUUGUUGGUGAGGUAAUGGCUCACCAAGGCUUCGAUCAGUAGCUGGUCUGAGAGGAUGAUCAGCCACACUGGGACUGAGACACGGCCCAGACUCCUACGGGAGGCAGCAGUGGGGAAUUUUCCGCAAUGGGCGAAAGCCUGACGGAGCAACGCCGCGUGAGGGACGAAGGCCUCUGGGCUGUAAACCUCUUUUCUCAAGGAAGAAGAUAUGACGGUACUUGAGGAAUAAGCCACGGCUAAUUCCGUGCCAGCAGCCGCGGUAAUACGGGAGUGGCAAGCGUUAUCCGGAAUUAUUGGGCGCAAAGCGUCCGCAGGCGGCUUUUCAAGUCUGCUGUUAAAGAGUGGAGCUUAACUCCAUCAUGGCAGUGGAAACUGAAAGGCUUGAGUAUGGUAGGGGCAGAGGGAAUUCCCGGUGUAGCGGUGAAAUGCGUAGAUAUCGGGAAGAACACCAGUGGCGAAGGCGCUCUGCUGGGCCAUUACUGACGCUCAUGGACGAAAGCCAGGGGAGCGAAAGGGAUUAGAUACCCCUGUAGUCCUGGCCGUAAACGAUGAACACUAGGUGUCGGGGGAAUCGACCCCUUCGGUGUCGUAGCUAACGCGUUAAGUGUUCCGCCUGGGGAGUACGCACGCAAGUGUGAAACUCAAGGAAUUGACGGGGGCCCGCACAAGCGGUGGAGUAUGUGGUUUAAUUCGAUGCAACGCGAAGAACCUUACCAGGGUUUGACAUCCUGCGAACCUCUUAGAAAUUUGAGGGUGCCUUCGGGAAUGCAGUGACAGGUGGUGCAUGGCUGUCGUCAGCUCGUGUCGUGAGAUGUUGGGUUAAGUCCCGCAACGAGCGCAACCCACGUUUUUAGUUGCCAGCAUUUAGUUGGGCACUCUAGAAAGACCGCCGGUGAUAAACCGGAGGAAGGUGUGGAUGACGUCAAGUCAUCAUGCCCCUUACACCCUGGGCUACACACGUACUACAAUGCUACGGACAAAGGGCAGCAAACUCGCGAGAGCUAGCAAAUCCCAUAAACCGUGGCUCAGUUCAGAUCGUAGGCUGCAACUCGCCUACGUGAAGUAGGAAUCGCUAGUAAUCGCAGGUCAGCAUACUGCGGUGAAUACGUUCCCGGGCCUUGUACACACCGCCCGUCACACCAUGGAAGUUGGCCAUGCCCGAAGUCGUUACUCCAACCCUUGUGGAGGAGGACGCCGAAGGUGGGGCUAAUGACUGGGGUGAAGUCGUAACAAGGUAACCGUA
This 1434-nucleotide ribosomal RNA is filed under the name uncultured bacterium. RNAcentral's name for it is "bacterial SSU rRNA". It matches the Rfam family "Bacterial small subunit ribosomal RNA". The record is from RNAcentral.